AUUGGAUGCUUGCCUUCAGAAAUCGAGAAGUUCGGUUACGGACUCUGAGCACCCACUGAGCAAUUACAAAGGAGUAUGGUAAACACUCAGAACGUGGUCCUUGCUGAGCAGUGACGAUCUUGACUCCCGGGAGGGCAUAGCGUACUGGCACGAAUUGGCACGAAUGCUGGACUUUGAAGCUGAAGAUAAGACCUGGACUCCUGGAUCAACAGGGAGUGGUGCUAACACUUGCUCUGUCCAGCUGACCCGGCUACUUUGAGGCAAAAGAAGUAGGGGGUCAAUGAAAAGUAAUUGAGAUACUGCAUGAUAUUAUAAGGAGUCCACGAGUACAAGGCGGGGUCGGAUAAAGCCGCGUUUGCCAGGAAAUGAGGUUUUUGGCAGCAGAAACACCAGUCUGAAUCGUGCAGGGUAACGGCUCCACGCGGGUGUGAGAGAAUCUGCUUCUGUGGGAACUCAACCUGAGAUACCAGAUAAUCGUACGUUGAUCUGUGACUUCAUGGGGUGGCUUAUCAGUCCAGGCCACUCAGAAGGCACUGCGGACUAACCUGAAUCCCAUAGCAGCGUUGAUAAGACCCUUCAGCAUCAGGCCGCCGCUCACUGCCAGCCUCACCUCUCCCCAGGACGGUCUUCACUGCACCCUCCCGCCUGACCUCUGUGUACCAGUUAAGCUCGGUGACUUGCAGUUCUUGGAAUGUAUUUCAAUCCUCAGGCCUCUGGCGCCGGGCCAUGUUCUCUCUGUGCCAGCAGCACCCUUCCCCUCCAUUCACUGGUCUACCUCCCACCUGCCUUCAAGGCUUCAACCUUCCUUGACCGCCCCCCACAAGCAUGCACCCCAGCUGGGUGGCCCAUCCCUCUUACGUGCUCCCAGACAGCUCUGCUCUCAUAUGGCCCACCUUCUCCCACCGCACUGUAAGCUCCGUGAUGCGGGAAGCCUAGCUUCCUUACCUUCAAAGCCUGAAGCCUAGUCCCCUAGCUACACGGUUUUGAGUAAAUGCUUGAUGAAUUAAUGGGGAAAAAGUAGUAAGUGGACAAAGCUUUUAAUUUUGGAAAUGGACUAAAACAAUUCCUCUAACACAAAGUAAAAUGGACUGAGCAUCGUGAGAAAAGUCGAAACCACUCUGCAGCCUUCCAGAAUGGAGAGAAGACAGCCAUUCCUUCCCAUCCAUGAGUUCUAGAGGCUGUGAAGUUCAAGAGCAAGGUGUCGACAGAUUCGGUGUCUGGAAAAUAAAAAGUUGAAAGGAAUAAAAGCCCAACAUGGUUUGAAGAAACACCCUCGAAAGCAGAUUCAGAUGCGCUCUGUGGGUCGCGGCAGUGAGUGGCCCGGUACGGAAGCCACACUGAUCGGAGUCUCUGGGUUGUCCAGUGUUCCUCAGAUAACAGCUCCCUCAGCUUAACCUGCAGCCCGGCAGCCUCCCAGCUGGAACCCUGGGCGCCUGCUGCUGGAAGCAAGGACAAAACAAAUCCCCAGCGACUAACUGGCUCCUAAAACAAGAGAGGAGCUGGAAUUUUUUCUUUAGUGUUUGUGAGCACCUUGCUCUGACCUUGGGCAUCCAUCUCCUCUCCCAGGACAGAGGCCUGGGAAGGUUCUGGGAACCAGAGAUGAUGUGUGGACGGCAAGGAUGAAAUCCCUGUUGUCGAAGAUGACUGAACGGCGUGCCGAUUCUUCUGGGGUGCUAGAGCACCUGUCCCCCUCUGUUUUGCUUCUGUGUGCCCUGAACAGAGUGGAGGAUGGUGGAGCGAGGAGGGAAGUGUCUACACAGAAAAAAAAGGACCCAAGUCUUGGACCCAGAAAAUCCAACGGAUCAAGUGGUCUUGGCAAGAAUCCGGGAUUAGAAAAAGGAAGACUCCCCCUUCGCUGCCUGAGACUGUAGGUCCUUGAAUUCCGUUGACUCAUGCGAGACAAGAUGGGGGAUUUUUCUGCAGCAGUUGCCACGUGGGAAAACAGAUCACUGUCAGUUGCUGAGGUCUUCUUGUUGCUUUCUCUGGCAGAGGAACAUUUAUUUAUCACAGGAGAGGCUGGCUCUGAAAGGAUUCAGGCAAACUUUCUUCUGGAGAUGAAAACAUGUCAUCCCUCGCCUGUGCCAUCUACUGAAAACCCUUCCAAACCAAAAGCUAGUGACUGUCCUGAUGGACAGAUGUCAUCCCAAGCAGGCAUGGAUCAUUGUGUUUGUUUUUCUCGCUAACCCUGCACGACUUUGAACCCACUCUGUAAAUAAAAGAGACAGGAGCACAAAACUCUUUACACUUCCUGCCUUCCUCCCAGUGUGCUGACAUUUCAAAGCCCCAUAUGUUUCUCUCAACAGAAUUUCAUGAAAAUACAUAUUAAAAAUAAAAACAGUUUUUCAGUUAUUUCAACCCAAGAGAAGAAAGGCUGCCUGGGGCUGUGAGGGGCAGUUUACAGGAUGAUGUGAUCGUCUCUCCCCCUUUUAAUGCCAGCAGGCACAUCUGAAAGGCUUAAAAUGGAGAUGUGCUUGAAGAUGUGCGACCAGUGUAUGCUUCUUCACUUACCCAUGCACGUUAGAAAUAUUCUGCACUAAGCCACAAGCAGGAUACAGUUUUAAUAAAUAUUUCCCAUUGAAAAAUGAAAACUGGAUAGAGUUUAAAACACAUCAGACUCCUUAAGAGUUGGAAUAGACAUUUGCUCGUUACCUCCCCCGCAUGGAUUCUUCCUCUCCCCACUUUGAUUUUCCUUGGGGAUACACCCCUCUUCCAUUCUCACUGGUGCUCAAGAUGGGAUUGAUCUGGCCCCCAGCUCCAGGAAUGGACUAUAAUUGGUUCAAGCCGAUCAUGGAUCCCAUUCCUCAGGCCACAGAGUGUGGUCAGGAAUGAGCUCGUGAUCCAAUUUGGGCCAAUGAUUCAUAGCGAUAAACGCCUACAUUUGGAAAAAAAAAAGCUCAAAUAAACGACAUAACUAUACCUCUAGGAACUAGAAGAAGAAGAAAGGAAGCCCAAAAUCAGCAGAAGGAAGGAAAUAACGAAGAUCAGAAUGGGAAUUAUAAAUGAAGCAGAGUUUAACAAGACAAUGGGGGGAAAUCAGCGAAAUGAAGAGCUGCUUUUUGAAAAGAGAAACAAAAUUGACAAAACUUUAGCUCGACUUACCAAGAAAAAAAGAAAGGACUCAAAUAAAUAAAAUCAAAAAUGAAACAGGAGACAUUACAACUAAUACCACAGAAAUACAAAGAAUCAUAAGAGACUAAACAAUUGUAUGCCAGCAAAUUAGACAAUCUUGAAGAAAUGCACAAAUACCUGAAAGCAUACAACCAACCAAGACGGAAUCAUGAAGAAACAGAAAAUCUGAACAGGUCUAUUGCUAGUAAAGAGAUUGAAUUAGUAAUCAAAAAUCUACCAACAAAGAAAAGUCCAGGAAAAGGAGGCUUCACUGGUGAAUUCUACCAAACAUUUGAAGAAUUAAUACCAAGCCUUCUCACACCCUUCCAAUUUGCACCAGUGACAGAGGUGACAAUCACUGGACCUGUAUGCAAAGUUCUACCGCUUCUCUGUCCCUGGAUCACGCCCAUUGUGGGGUGAGGAUGUGAGGUGAGGAACAGCCAGGGCAAUUUGCUCCCCUGGGGGGAGAGACCCCAGAGUUGCCAGGAGCCUUUGUGUGGAAUCUGGGGAUAAAACUGCCACCACUUUGAAAACUGGAGAGACUGUAAGAGCCAGAUCUUCGGUGGCUUAGACUCACCUGAAGC
Long non-coding RNA from Ailuropoda melanoleuca (giant panda), 3692 nucleotides. RefSeq lists it as uncharacterized. The record is from RefSeq and is a predicted model, not a curated record. Lineage: Eukaryota; Metazoa; Chordata; Mammalia; Carnivora; Ursidae. The transcript is spliced from 7 exons.